RNAcentral lists this long non-coding RNA (1182 nucleotides) under Mus spicilegus (steppe mouse). RNAcentral's name for it is "lncRNA (ENSMSIG00000001180.1)". The record is from RNAcentral. Lineage: Eukaryota; Metazoa; Chordata; Mammalia; Rodentia; Muridae.
CAGGCUUGAGGUCGGAGGAGAACCAUGAGGGAGAUAGGAAGGUGGAGAGAAGAUGCUAUGGGGUAAGGAUCUUAAAAUCAUGGCCGUGGGGGCUAGGCAAUUGGAGUUAAGAGAAACCCAGAUGGAACAAAUUAAGAACCAGGGGUUAUCGAUAGGAAAGUAGAUUCUAAUAGCAUCGAGGGUAGAUAUCUGCCCAGCUUUAGUGCUGAUAAAGGCUUAUUAUAAAUUAAAGUUCAUGUGUGUCUUUUACCUGGGAAUUGAAUAAUCAAAGGCCCCUGAUUGAGAUUAAUUUUUUUUUUCAAUAACAUCAGAGGGUUGAACAGGAGUCCUCAGGAACCCAGGCCUGGAACAGGUGAUACAAUGGCUUGUUCGUGGUUUUGUGUGUCCCUGGGGCCUCUGUGCCUGUCCUCUGCGCUGCUUGCCGGUAUUAUGAAAGCCACGCACUACUUGGCACCAAGUUGACAAGAUCCUCCCUGAUCUGUUGUGGGUAUCUGAAGCCCAUUAUGCCAUCUGCUCAGGACAGGAGAUGUAGAGCCUGUUGCAGUCAUUAGGCCGGAAAUAGAGUUUUAAAGCUGGGAAUCGGUUGCAUGACUGUUCCAGGCAGGGUGGUGCACUCUUGUGGUCAUAGCCCUCUCGAGGCUGAGGCAAAUUCAAAGCCCAUGUGAACUAUAUAAUGAGACCUUACUUCCCUCCGUACUUAAAAAACACCACCACCACCACCCUACCACCAUCACCAACAGGAAAAAAAACUGGGUGGGGGAGAGGAUGAGGGGGAAGAGGAAGGAACGGGAAAGGGGAGAGCAGAGGGAAGAGGAGGUGAGAGGAGAAGCGCUUGAUUCACUGUAAAUCUAUUGCAGAGAAGGGAAAGCACGUGAGCCUGUCAGUUACAUUCACCGACACUAGAGGGCGACUGUUGACAAGAUUAUUGCACAGCCUCUUCUCAUCCCAGCACAGCACACGGAGCAAGCGAAGGAGCAUAGGGAAGAAGCGGUUCUUCCCUCCCCAGCAUGCAUGUGACCGCCUAGGUUCACACGAGGCAGCCCUACCUCGAUGCUGUGAGCAGCCAGCGAGAUCACAUCCGAGGAAGCUCUCACAGAGCGCCCAGAACCCAUGGCUCAUUUAGUUCUGAUCUACUGGAGCGCCUCUCCAGACAACUGAUGUCUCAAUAUCAACAGAGAAAAG